RNAcentral lists this ribosomal RNA (253 nucleotides) under uncultured bacterium. Its description in RNAcentral is "partial 16S ribosomal RNA". It matches the Rfam family "Bacterial small subunit ribosomal RNA", at positions 524 to 776 of the family's 1533-position model. The record is from RNAcentral.
GACGAGGGGUCCAAGCGUUGUUCGGAAUCAUUGGGCGUAAAGCGGGUGUAGGUGGCUCUAUAAGUCAGAAGUGAAAGCCCCGAGCUUAACUUGGGAAGUGCUUUUGAUACUGUAGAGCUUGAAUGUGGGAGAGGAUCGUGGAAUUCCAGGUGUAGUGGUGAAAUACGUAGAUAUCUGGAGGAACACCGGUGGCGAAGGCGGCGAUCUGGCCCAACAUUGACACUGAGACCCGAAAGCGUGGGGAUCAAACAGG